Molecule: long non-coding RNA, 2272 nt
Organism: Ipomoea triloba (trilobed morning glory)
Lineage: Eukaryota; Viridiplantae; Streptophyta; Magnoliopsida; Solanales; Convolvulaceae
Exons: 2
Source: RefSeq, a predicted model, not a curated record
AAAGACUUUACCGAGCGAUCGUAGACCGGAAAAGACUCUGAAUUCAAGGUCAACGGCGGAGGAGGGCGAACAUGGGAGGAGGAGAGGACCCGCAGAAGCUGAAGACGAUAGCGGCGGCGGCGUACGACUACGAGAACGAUCCGAUUAAUGGCCUCCCGCUCCGACGUCGUCGAUCACUUUUAGCUCGCAAGUUCUACCAGCGAUACAAAUACCUAGCAUGUAUAUUUGCUGUUCGAAAGCUGCGUUCGUUCAAUUACAAAACCAUCUGCUCCGCAGACAUCAUCUUCACUUCCAAAUAGCCAGUCACCAGCAGCACAUACCUCAGGUAUUGAUCUGGUUUUCAGUUUACUAUGAUCUAUGAGAUAUUUAAAUGGGAUUGGGGUCUUUCUCAGAAGUCAGCAAUUCCAUUUGUUUUGUUUAGUGAUAUUACUUUUCAUUUUAGAGUCAUCUGGAUUCUGGAAUGACAUCUAGGAUAUCAACAACUCCAGUUUCAGAUCCGACUUCUUUGCGCUGGGAUAGGCAAACUGUAUAGUUUUCUGUCAGUGCCUGGGUAUAUAUGGCAACUCCUUCCCAGACUAAUAAGCAUUUAAAGGAUAUGUUUUUGAACUGAUAUUGAAUGCAAAGUCAAAUCACCUGGAAUGCUUGCAGAAGACAUUUUGUUUUUUGGAUCAAAUGAAGGGGUUCAACCCGAAACCUGUAACCCUAUCUGAUAGUACUUCUUCUCGGGCUAGGUACACCCAGUCUGUUUUCCCUAAGCACCUGUAAAACACCAUCUGGAGGGAGCCCCAUGUAUUUCCUUCCAGUUUUCCCUCUGUUGGACAGCCAACCUUGCCACUCAGUCUGUAGCACAAUUUUGGUCCCUAUAAGACAUGCUUGACCUUGACAUCUGAAUCUUUUCCUGGCCAUUUCUUGCUUCCCUCAAUGAUGUUACGGAUCGGCCACGGGGUAAUUUUCCCCCCUUGAUCCAAUUGACAACCUCCAUGGAAUCACUUUGAAUCUCAAUCUUGUAGCAUCCCCUAUUCCAAGCCACUCUAAUCCCCUCCGCACUGCCCAACAUUUGGCCUCUGCUGCAUGAAAAGCUUCUUGGUUGCACAUGAAGCCACCAUGUCAGUUACCUUGAUUAUCCUGGAUAACUCCCCCACAUCCAGAGUUGCCGUUGCUGGCCUUGAAACAUCCGUCAAUGUUGAGCACCAUCCUGUCGUCGCAUGGCCUAUCCCACCUAACUGCCCAGACUUUAGUGCUAUCCCGUUGUCUCCUGCUGCCAUCAUGGUCAUUGAAAGCCUUCAAUGUCUCGUCUUUAGUGUCCAGGAUUUUUUUUGCCUUCCAUCUCAGAUUAGCUUCAGCACCGUUGAACACUACCAGUGCCAAAGCCACCACAGGGUCACUGCAAAGUGCAAACACAUUAGGCCAGUCCUCCCCAAAUCUGGUGUGCAAUCUGUUGCUCAGGUUCCUGUUUAGCCAAUUGGUGAAGUCCCUAUCAUUCCAACGCCUGGCAGGAGUGUUCUCCAAACCACCUCAGCCCUGUUGCAUUUGCAGAAAAGGUGAUCCAAGAAAACGUUUUAUUAGUUAGGGUAAAGUGCAUAUUAGGCCAAAGCUCUAAAGGGCUGGUACUUGCAGGUCAAGCCCUGUUUACUACUUUGCUUUAGUUGUCCAUCUUCUGGUCUUUAUUUGAUGAAAAAUGCCUAUCAACUGCUAGAAAUCACAUUUCAUACUGGUUUUAUGUACUGGCAUUGUGACCAGUUUAAAAAAUACAAUCUUUAGUGCAUACCACCAGUAAUACUAUAAGGAGACAGGCAACCACCAUUUAUUAACCUUCUUUUCCAUCUGGUUCUCAUUUCAGUUAUUAAUUGUGAUUUAAUCAGUGGGUCUGCCUCUUAUUACUAAAAAUCAACCAUGGAAGUGUGUUAGAAGUUUUGAACUUAUGGAUCAAGCUUUAUAUUCUGAUUGUGGGUUCUUCUGAAAUUGUUUGAAUUUGAUAUCUUGAAAAUGAGAUACAGAUACUGCAUAUAAAUUUGCCCAUUCCAAUGUCAAUAAUGACUAUGAGGCCAAAGAGGUCUAGCCAAUUGCCUUUUUCACAAUUAUGAAGGCUCCUCUCUCGUUCUUAGUCGUGGCACUCGUGGGCCCAACAAGAAGACCUUGACCCUGGGUGGUAGUGUAAUUCAUAAAGUUUGUUUUAGUUGAUUAAGUUGAGUUGGUUUGACAGGUUAAUAUGUUACUUUGGUAAAUGACUUAUUGCAUUAGUUUAUUAGGAUAAUAAGUUAAAAUUUGAAAA